This 449-nucleotide ribosomal RNA is filed under the name uncultured prokaryote. RNAcentral describes it as "bacterial SSU rRNA". It matches the Rfam family "Bacterial small subunit ribosomal RNA", at positions 355 to 796 of the family's 1533-position model. The record is from RNAcentral.
UGGGGAAUAUUGGACAAUGGGCGCAAGCCUGAUCCAGCGACGCCGCGUGUGUGAAGAAGGCCUGCGGGUUGUAAAGCACUUUUAGUAGAGACGAAAAGCUUCGGGUUAAUAACCCGGGGUCUUGACUUAACCUACAGAAAAAGCACCGGCUAACUCUGUGCCAGCAGCCGCGGUAAUACAGAGGGUGCGAGCGUUAAUCGGAAUUACUGGGCGUAAAGCGCGCGUAGGCGGUUUUGUAAGUCGGGUGUGAAAGCCCCGGGCUCAACCUGGGAACUGCAUUCGAAACUGCAAGACUGGAGUAUGGGAGAGGGCAGCGGAAUUUCCGGUGUAGCGGUGAAAUGCGUAGAUAUCGGAAGGAACAUCAGUGGCGAAAGCGGCUGCCUGGCCCAAUACUGACGCUCAUGUGCGAAAGCGUGGGGAGCAAACAGGAUUAGAUACCCCGGUAGUCC